This is a non-coding RNA of Candidatus Ryanbacteria bacterium, 4585 nucleotides long. NCBI's taxonomy places the organism in Bacteria, Candidatus Ryaniibacteriota. The record is from Rfam.
AAUGGGGUUACUAAGAGCAUAUGGUGGAUGCCUAGACUUUGAAUGGCGAUGAAGGACGUGGCGUGACUGCGAUAAGCUUCGGGGAGGUGUCUAGCAACCUUUGAUCCGGAGAUUUCCGAAUGGGGAAACCUAUACUGGUACACCCAGUAUGUCCUAUACCGCGUGGUGUAGGGAGCGCACCCAGGGAAGUGAAACAUCUCAGUACCUGGUGGAAAAGAGAACAAUUGUUUAUUCCCUUAGUAGCGGCGAGCGAACCGGGAACAGCCCAAACCUAUGUACUUCGGUAUAUGGGGGUUGUAAGAGAGUAUCGUUUGUUUACUCAAAGGAAGUUUAUAAAAGAAAUCUUCGUUAGCGGAAGGCGGCUGGAAAGCCCCACCACAGCGGGUAAUAGUCCCGUACGCGAAAACGGUUUUCAACUUCUUGAUACUCAUCUUGAGUACUUCGACAAAUGGUUGCGUCGGAGGAAGCAGGCCGAACUAUGCGGCCAAGGCUAAAUACAUUCGAAGAUCGAUAGUGAACUAGUACCGUGAGGGAAAGGUGAAAAGCAGCCCGAUGAGGGCGGUGAAAUAGUACCUGAAACCAUAUGCUUACAAGGACUCGGAGCCUACUAUCCGCAAGGGUAGUUGGGUGACGGGGUGCCUAUUGAAGAAUGAGCCAACGAGUUAUCUUGUAUCCUUCGUCUAAGGGCUUCGGUCCGGAGGCAAAGGGAAACCAAGUGUUAAUAGCGCGUAUGCCUGCUCAAAUUUUUGGGCUUUUUUGCGUGAGUCUAAAAAUUUGAGCAGGCCAGGGUACAAGAUAGACCCGAAGCCAGGUGAGCUUGCCAUGGCCAGGAUGAACUUCGGUUAAACCCGGAGGGAGGUCCGAACCGGUGAAUGGUGCAAAAUUCUCGGAUGAGCUGUGGUAAGGAGUGAAAAGCUAAUCGAACCUGGUAAUAGCUGGUUCUCUCCGAAAUAGCUUUUGGGCUAGCGUCGUGAUAAUCCCCAGGGGUAGAGCUCUGGAAGGUCUGUAAAGGGCGAAAGCUCGACAGACCUAUCAAACUUCGAAUACUGGGGGUCAUAUUCACGAUAGUCAGACUACGGGGGCUAAGCUCCGUCGGUCGAGAGGGGAAGAGCCCGGAUCGCCAUCUAAGGUCCCUAAAUCUAUGCUAAGUGUAUCUCAAGGAGGUGAAGUUUCUUAAACAGCGAGGAGGUUGGCUUAGAAGCAGCCAUCCUUUAAAGAGUGCGUAACAGCUCACUCGUCGAGAGACUUCGCGCCGAAAAUAAUCGGGGCUAAGCAUAGUACCGAAGGUGCGAAUAUGUGAACUUCAUUGAGGGAAAAUGUUUUUUGUUUGUAGAAAAAGUUUGUGAGGCGAUAGCUCAGACGGGAGAGCAUUCCCAUACACGUUCCACGUGUAUGGGAAAGGUCGGGGGUUCAACUCCUCCUCGCUUCAUACAACCUUCGUCGGGGUGUAGCGCAGUCUGGUAGCGCGCCGGGCUUGGGUCCCGUAGGUCGGGUGUUCAAAUCACCUCACCCCGAUUCUGGGAGCAGACAGUGUGUCUGCUCCCACCAAACUUUUUGUUCUUUGUUUUUAUGCGAAGUGCGCUAGUACUUCGCUCCUUCAAUGAAGUUCACAUAUGGUAGGAGAGCGUUUCGUAUGCAGUGAAGCCGCAUCCGUGAGGAACGGUGGAGCGUACGGAAGUGAGAAUGUUGGCACGAGUAACCACAAUCGCGGUGAAAUCCCGCGACACCGAAAGCCCAAGGUUUCCUUGGCAAUGAUGAUCAUCCAAGGGUGAGCCGGUCCUAAGCCAAUGGCGAAAGCCGCAGGCGAUGGACAAACGGUUAAUAUUCCGUUGCUUCGAUUGCGUUCGAUGGAGGGACGGAGACAGGUAGGUUGAGCGUAUUAUUGGAUUUACGUUUGUUGCGCGAUAGACGAUUCUUAGGCAAAUCCGGGAAUCAGCCGCAAGGCAAGUCUCUGCGUCGCAAAAAUUUUCCACUACGGUGGAAGAAAUUUAACUGAGACAUCUCCCAAGAAAAACUUCUAAGGUUCGCGCAAUCGAAACCGUACCGCAAACCGACACAGGUGGGCUGGGCGAGAAGCCUAAGGUGAACGGGUGAUUCCUCCCUAAGGAACUCGGCAAAAAAGCGGCCGUAACUUCGGGAUAAGGCCUGCCCCGCGCAAGCGGGGCUGCAACAAAAGUAUCUCUGGCGACUGUUUAUCAAAAACACAGCUCCCUGCGAACUCGUAAGAGGAUGUAUAGGGGGUGACGCCUGACCAAUGCGAGAAGGUUAACGGUUGAGGUCGUAUGGAUUUAUCUGUACGGCUAAGGCCCGAAGCCCUCGUCAAUGUCGGCAGUAACUAUAGACAACGACAGUUGUAGUUACUCAAAAAAAUCUUGCUAUAUGCGGGAAACUCUGGGUCCGUAAGGAACGGGCCAAAAAAGUAUUGGUUGCUACUCGCCCCACGUCGAUGGAGCAGUAACAAAGCAAUCAUGCAGACAAUCCGCAGGAAAGACUUCUGCUUUUCCAAGUAUCACAUGGAUAAUUGGUUAAGAAAUAUUGAGCCAAAAUUUGGCUACUACAUAGCUGGUUUUACUGAUGGUGAAGGAAGCUUCAACGUAUCGGUAGCCAAGCGCAAAGACUACAGAGGGGAAUGGAAACUCAUUGCUUCAUUUAACAUCUCUCAAAAAGACAGAGUGAUUCUCGCAUUCAUAAAACAUAUUCUAGGAUGCGGGACUUUGCGAGAGAGAAAAGAUGGAGUGGUGUAUUACGAGGUGACGAAUAUUCGGUCACUUCAAGAAAAGAUUAUCCCAUUUUUCCUCCGUUUCGGAUUUCUCUCGGCAAACAAAAAAAGAAAUUUCUCUAUCUUCAGACAGAUUGUAGAUCUUAUGGGUCAAGGAGAACAUCUUAAUCCACAAGGGUUACAAAAUAUUCUCGAGCUCCGAGAAAUACUGAAUGAGGGGAGAGGUAGGACGAGAAAGUAUACGUUACAAGAUGUAGUUAAUAGCAGAAGAAUCCUCAGAGACUAAUACGCAAGAGUCUUAUGAACCACAAUGCAUGCCGACGGGUUCAUAAUGAUAAGAUAGAGUCCGAUCCCAUAGGCGACUAUGGGGAUCCCUCGUAAUACAUGAGGGUGAUAACGUGAUGAACUGUCCUAAGGUAGCGCAAUUCCUUGUCGGGUAAGUUCCGACGUGCACGAAAGGCGCAACGACUGGAGAACUGUCUCGGGGAGGAGCCCGGUGAAAAUGCAAUACCGGUGAAGAUGCCGGUUACCUGCAGCUAGACGAAAAGACCCCAGAAGCUUUACUGUAGCUUGGUAUUGCGUAUGCGCUUCGACUGCGUAGCAUAGGUGGGAGGCUUUGAAGUAUCGGUUUCGGCUGAUAUGGAGCCAACAGUGAAAUACCACUCUUUCGCGGUGUAUAUGCUAAUCCCCGUUAAACGGCGGGGAGACAGUGCCUGGUGGGCAGUUUGUGUGGGGCGCAAUCCUCCUAAAAAGUAACGGAGGAGUUUAUUAAGGUCGGCUAGGCGCGGAUGGAAAUCGCGCUGAUAGGGCAAUGCCACAAGCCGGCUUGACUGCAAGGGGUACAUCCCGAGCAGGUGCGAAAGCAGAACAUAGUGAACCGAUGGCUAGUACUAGAAACAAGCCAAAGAUUAACGGAUAAAAGCUACUCUGGGGAUAACAGGCUAGUUCCGCCCGAGCGUCCAUAGCGACGGCGGAGUUCGGCACCUCGAUGUCGGCUCGUCUUAUCCUGGGGGUGGAGAAGCUCCCAAGGGUUUGGCUGUUCGCCAAUUAAAAAGGCACGCGAGCUGGGUUCAGACCGUUUAGAGGGGUAGGCUCUAGGCUUCUAGGCACUAGGCUUUAGCGAAUUUAUUUCCUAAAGCCUAACGCCUAAGGUUCCUAGCGCCUAGUCUUUUGAACCGUCUGAACCCGAGGCUUGAAGACAUCAAAACACGGCGGCGUACAUGAGUAAUUAUGUACGCGCAAACCGACUUAUAUCGGUAGAGUCCUGCAUGUAGUGGGAUAAUACCGAGGGAAGUCCACUCUUUUGUAAAGAGUGUGGAUGAGAUCUAGAAAAAAACUUGAAUGGGGACACAUACACCUUCUCCCUUGCGGACUCAAAAUCUGUCAGAGGGAUGUAAGACUAGUGCCUUGUACACACCGCCCAUUCAUCCACGCUCUACACUCUUUACAGAAGAGUGGUACACCCGUAGAGACUACACGUCGGUCUCCCGCUUACAGCGGGAUGAAGAUAUAGUCCAAUGCACGUAGUAAUACGUGAGAAACUAUUUACAUUGAGGAGAUGUAAUUAGAUAACAUGCGUGAGACAGGUUGGUCUCCUAUCUGCUGCAGGCGUCGAUUCUUGAGGAGAGUCUUUCCUAGUACGAGAGGACCGGAAAGAACUGACCUCUGGUCUACCAGCUGUCCUGCCAAGGGCAACGCUGGGUAGCUAUGUCGGGAAUGGAUAACCGCUGAAAGCAUCUAAGCGGGAAGCCAACUCCAAGAUUAGGAAUCUUAAGAUCCCUCGAAUACUACGAGGUUGAUAGGCUCUAGGUGUAAGCGCAGUAAUGCGUUCAGCCGAGGAGUACUAAUAGAUCAUGACCCCAUUAA